RNAcentral lists this transfer RNA (66 nucleotides) under Scoloplos cf. armiger CB-2006. RNAcentral describes it as "tRNA-Ile". The record is from RNAcentral. Lineage: Eukaryota; Metazoa; Annelida; Polychaeta; Orbiniidae.
GGUAUUGUGCCGGAAUAAACGGAUAACUUUGAUGAAGUUAAACAUGGAAGCUAAACCCCAAUACCU